This 253-nucleotide ribosomal RNA is filed under the name uncultured bacterium. Its description in RNAcentral is "partial 16S ribosomal RNA". It matches the Rfam family "Bacterial small subunit ribosomal RNA", at positions 524 to 776 of the family's 1533-position model. The record is from RNAcentral.
UACGUAGGGUGCAAGCGUUGUCCGGAAUUAUUGGGCGUAAAGGGCUCGUAGGCGGUCUGUCGCGUCGGGCGUGAAAACUCAGGGCUUAACCCUGAGCCUGCUUCCGAUACCGGCAGACUAGAGGUAUGCAGGGGAGAACGGAAUUCCUGGUGUAGCGGUGGAAUGCGCAGAUAUCAGGAGGAACACCGGUGGCGAAAGCGACUUCCUGGGCCAGUACCGACGCUCAGGCACGAAAGCGUGGGGAGCAAACAGG